AGCAGCAGGCAAUGCAGGACUGGCUGUGCUGCCACAGUGAGUGCUGGGGACAUGGCUUCUGCCCACCUGAAGCCCUCCGUGGAGCUCUGGGUGCUGCAGGCUUGAGAACUUCAUCUCACAGUGUGACAGCAUGGGAAGGUCAGCUCUGAGCAGCUUCCAGCACCAGGAUGGAAAGCAAGGAUGGGUCAGUUCCCUCGGUGGCUGCCUUCACACAUGGAGCCUUGGGGAUGCUCUAGGAGUGGGCUCAGAGCAACGUUGAAGACAGAUAAGAUGCUCCAUAGGAACUGAAGAAUAGAACAAUGCUUUGAUAGUCUUCACUGCCAAAGAAUCACCUGAGUUGGAAGAGACCUCUGAAGGCCAUCUGGUCCCACUCUCUGCAGUGCACAGGGCACCCACAGCUCCAUCACAGCUCACAGCCCAUCCCCUG
Molecule: long non-coding RNA, 427 nt
Filed under: Gallus gallus (chicken)
Lineage: Eukaryota; Metazoa; Chordata; Aves; Galliformes; Phasianidae
Description: lncRNA (ENSGALG00010002847.1)
Source: RNAcentral